Long non-coding RNA from Mauremys mutica (yellowpond turtle), 3743 nucleotides. RefSeq lists it as uncharacterized. The record is from RefSeq and is a predicted model, not a curated record. NCBI's taxonomy places the organism in Eukaryota, Metazoa, Chordata, Testudines, Geoemydidae. The transcript is spliced from 5 exons.
CAGUCCUCAGCUUUCUGCAUUCUGGAUAACUGGCUAUGACAGUCACACAUCAGAGUCUACUGUCCUCAUGCGAUGGAAAGUGAGUGAGAGCAGCGAGCCUGUGAGCAUUGUUCAUGCCAGGCAACAGCCGUCAAUGUGGGGAUCGAGCAGACGCCACUGUCAGUGAGAUAAGUGUCUGUUUUGCUGAGGGUUCUGCUCACGACCCAUAUCAGUUUCUUGCCUUUCUCUGUUUCUUUCUCUCUCUCUCUCUCUCACUCUCUUCUCUAGUGUGUUGGCCAACAAUCUGUCUCUGUCCUUGCCUCUCCUUGUGCUGUCUCCCUUCAUAGGACACGGGCAGGAGUGCUAGGUGUGCAUCCCCACAGGCUAGGUCUCAGGAGCUAUGAACAAAUAGGAGGAGAUGAAAAUCAUUCAGGAUAUUGGGUGCUAGAGUGGAGCGGUGUCUGUGGAUGUUGACUCAGUCUCUGUUCAUCGAGUCGAGCGGAUGUAGAUGGGAUGGGAGAGGGAAGCAGGGAUGAGGGCAUUCAUAGAGCUCUGUGUAGUGACAGUUCUUGCUUGGCUUUAUUAGUUUGCAGAGCAAUCGUCCAGGAGCCCCAGCCGGAUGAGAAUGUCAGAAGUGGACCUCAGCAGCGUGGACAUCCUUCUAAGGAAAUAAGAAUAGUCCUCAGGUUUCUGCCUUCUGCAUAACUGGCUUACUAAGGAAAAAGACGUCACAUGUCAAAGUCUACUGCCCUUAUGAGUGAGAGUGACGAGACUGCGAGCGUUGUUGGUGCCAGGCAGGAGCCGUCCAUCUGGGAGCAGAACAGCUGCUACUAUCACUGAGAUAAGUAUCUGUUUUGCUGAGGGUUCUGCUCACGGCCCACCUGGCUACAGGUAGAGACACCCCGUUAGGUGGAGUGGGUUUGUAAGAAAAGGUUCCUGACUAGCUGUGGUUUUGAGGGAGACACGGUCCCCAUUUUCAGGGGCUGAUUUCUCUGGCCAGGAUCGGUGUGUCCUCGGCAGGAGAAGGUUAGAUCCAUGAGGGAUGACUCCAGGUGGUGAGUUGCUUGCCUUCCUCCUCUGUUUCUCUCUCUUUCUUCUCUAGUCUACUCUACUGUGUUGGCCAACACACACUCUCUCGGCUGUCUCCGUUCAUAGGGCAAGGACAGGAGUGCUAUGUGUGCAUCCCCUCAGGCUAGGUCUCGGGAGCUACGAACAAGUAGGAGGGGACAAAAAUCAUGCAUCGUAGUGGGCGCUAGAGUGGAGGGGUGACUGUGGAUGUUGACUGUCUCUCUUCAAGUGGGCCUGAUGUAGAUAGGCAGGGAUGAGGGCAAGAUUACCUGCACCAAUUGAAUUUUGUGUAGUGAUGGCUCUUGCUUGGCUCAUUUCCUGCGCUUGCAGAGGAAUUGUCCAGGAGCAGCAGCUGAAGGAGAAAAUGGCAGACGCGGACCUGAGGAGCCUGGACAUCCUUCUAAGCAGACAUGAAAGGUCCUCAGAUUUCUGCCUCCCACACAACUGGCUGUGAGUAAGCGGUCAGUGCUUGGAAUCCCUCAUCUGUACUGGCUCCGGUUUUGUUCAGAGGCUCUGAAUUUCCUCAUUGGACACGGUGCUCUGUGGGAUUCAGACGAGGCAAAGGCACAAGUCUCCUGUGCAGAUGCUGGGUUUAUUACCAAGUGGAGAGUCAGAGUCCACUCCGCACAUGCCAUGGAAAGGGAGCGAGAGCUGGGAGAUUCUAAGCAUUGUUGAUGCCAGGGAAGAGCCAUCCAGCUGGGAGUGGAGCAAGGACCACUGUCAGUGAGAUAAGUGUCUUGUUAGGUGAAGGCUCUGCUGUGGUUACGAGGGAGACAAGGUCCCUAUUUUCAGGGGCUGCUCAGUCCUCUGGCCAGUACCGGUGUGUCCUCUGCAGCGGAAGGUUGGAUCCAGGAGGAUGACUCCAGGUGACAAGUUGCUUGCCUUCCUCCCGUGUUUCUCAUUUUCUCGCUCUGUCUCUUUAGUGUGUUGGCCAAUGCUCUCUCUUAAUCUGUCCUUUCCUUGUGCCAUCUCCCUUCUUAGGACACAGGCAGGCCUGCGAGAUGUGCAUCUGCACAGGUUAGGUCUUGAAAGCCCUGAAGUAGUAGGAGGGGACGAAAACCAUGAGGGGUAGUGGGUGCGAGAGUGGAGCAGUGACUGUCAGUGUUGAAUCGGUCUCUGUUCAAGUGGGGCUGAUGUAGAUGGGUGGAAGAGGGAGGCAGGAUUGAGGGCAACAUUUCAAGCACCAUUAGAACUGUGUGUAGAGAUGGCGCAUGCUUGGCUUUUGCAGCUGCAUUUCCAGAGGAAUUGUCCAGGAGCUCGAGCCGGAGGAGAAACUGGCAGAGGUGGAUCUGAGCAGCUUGGACACGGUUCUAACCAGACAGGAACAGUCCUCAGCUUUCUGCCUUCUGAACAACUGCCUUUUGCAGAGGAAUCGUCCAGGAGCCCUUGCCGGAGGAGAAUAUUCAGCAGUGGAUCUGAGAAGCCUGGACAUCCUUCUAAGGAGACAUGAAUAGUCCUCGGGUUUCUGCAUAACUGGCUGUUCCUCAUCUGUACUUGCUGUAGUUUUCUUCGCAGGCUGUGUGCUUCCUCCUUGGGUACGGGGCUCUGUGGCUUGGGAGGGCCCAGAAUCUGCUCUGCGGAGUGACUGUUGGGUGCCAUUAAGAGGGCCAAUGCAGAGAGGAGAAAAGGGGCCUGAACCCUGAUUACAGGGCGGUCACCCUUUCUUUAGUAAAAUACUCCUCCUUUAAACUCGGUGCGGGGGGAAGUCCCCAAUGUGAAAAGAUCUGGAAAUGAACAGGUAAGGGAGGGAUCCUGCUGAGUGUCUCCUUUCCGAUCAAUCCUCCAUCUCUCAGCAACACCCUUCCGGACUUACCUUCCUACCUCACCAAGAAAAUAACUUGGUGCUCCCUAACCUUUUCCAGAAAAGACCCCUCUUCCUUGUGACGCAGUCCUGUUAGUAGAGUUAGGUGCACCCACGUGCUGGCUCUGAGUACCACCGCAUGUGCUUACAACACCUGAACAUCAAAACAUUUCAGAAAGGACCGCCACAUCAAUCCCUUCGGACGUAGCCCUAGGAAUCUCCUCUGUCUAUCUCCAAAGAGACACAAGGCCUGGAAUUUGAACACAGCUGAUGGAGCUGUCCGAAUCUCUACACUUGAGCACUCAUCAGUGCGACGGUGUCUUUCUUGUGCACAAGAAAACAAAGGGUUAAAGUUGUGAUUGGUUGAACGGUGUAAAUUGGACAGGACAAAAGGACUUGAGGAAGGAUGAGGUGGAAGUGAGGGUCUGAAAGGAGCCCCCCACCUCACCUGUUCAUUUCCAGAUGGAGUGACAUUUGCAUGGUUGGGCCAUUUCUUGGCUUUUUUGAGAAAAGGGGCGCAUUUUCCCACGGCUUCCACCAUCCCCUUACAGCUGCCCCUUCGCCACACUAUGUUGCAUCUGACCUGGAUAGGUCGCAAGUAAGAUUUCAUUUCAAAUCUCAAAAAAGUCCAGUAGAAAUAAUUGUGGGGGAAUUUCCUGUCACUAAGAGAAACGGAAGCUCAAGCCUUCUCAAGGGGUGGGGUGUCGCUCAGCCACAGGCACAAAAAGGCUCCCCUAGUUUAAGCGUGCGAGGGAUAAGACGUUACAGCCUGGUUACAGGGCAGUCAUUUUGCCGGGCGUGUCAAAGUGACCUGUGGUUUAAUUUGCUUGGCAAAGGAGACCCAAACCUUCCUUACAGGGUGGUCCUUAAGCCAGGGGCGUUUGAAUGGGGCAGA